UUCGCCCUAGGUCAUUUAGCAGUUAAUGUCACAAAGCACUGCGGUAUCCAGAGAUGGGCAACUUUCCUCGUGCACAUUCCAACCUAAGACUUGGGGCCCGGUGGCGAUAGGGUUACCUAUGAUGGGUAAGGCUGUGACAUUAGAGGAACGACCUAAAACAGGAGCCACGGCGGAUGGGCAUAAUUACACAGGCCUAG
Molecule: unclassified non-coding RNA, 197 nt
Filed under: Mus musculus (house mouse)
Lineage: Eukaryota; Metazoa; Chordata; Mammalia; Rodentia; Muridae
Source: RNAcentral